RNAcentral lists this transfer RNA (76 nucleotides) under Actinomycetes bacterium. RNAcentral describes it as "tRNA-Arg". It matches the Rfam family "tRNA". From Rfam's summary of the family: Transfer RNA (tRNA) molecules are approximately 80 nucleotides in length. Their secondary structure includes four short double-helical elements and three loops (D, anti-codon, and T loops). Further hydrogen bonds mediate the characteristic L-shaped molecular structure. tRNAs have two regions of fundamental functional importance: the anti-codon, which is responsible for specific mRNA codon recognition, and the 3' end, to which the tRNAs corresponding amino acid is attached (by aminoacyl-tRNA synthetases). tRNAs cope with the degeneracy of the genetic code in two manners: having more than one tRNA (with a specific anti-codon) for a particular amino acid; and 'wobble' base-pairing, i.e. permitting non-standard base-pairing at the 3rd anti-codon position. The record is from RNAcentral. Lineage: Bacteria; Bacillati; Actinomycetota; Actinomycetes.
GCCCUCAUAGCUCAGGGGAUAGAGCACAGGUUUCCUAAACCUGGUGUCGCAGGUUCAAAUCCUGCUGGGGGCACCA